RNAcentral lists this ribosomal RNA (461 nucleotides) under uncultured bacterium. Its description in RNAcentral is "partial 16S ribosomal RNA". It matches the Rfam family "Bacterial small subunit ribosomal RNA", at positions 29 to 504 of the family's 1533-position model. The record is from RNAcentral.
ACGAACGCUGGCGGCGUGCUUAACACAUGCAAGUCGAACGGAAAGGCCCUGCUUGCAGGGUACUCGAGUGGCGAACGGGUGAGUAACACGUGGGUGAUCUGCCCUGCACUUCGGGAUAAGCCUGGGAAACUGGGUCUAAUACCGGAUAGGAGCCAUUUUUAGUGUGAUGGUUGGAAAGUUUUUUCGGUGUAGGAUGAGCUCGCGGCCUAUCAGCUUGUUGGUGGGGUAAUGGCCUACCAAGGCGGCGACGGGUAGCCGGCCUGAGAGGGUGGACGGCCACAUUGGGACUGAGAUACGGCCCAGACUCCUACGGGAGGCAGCAGUGGGGAAUAUUGCACAAUGGGCGCAAGCCUGAUGCAGCGACGCCGCGUGGGGGAUGACGGCCUUCGGGUUGUAAACUCCUUUCGCUAGGGACGAAGCUUUUUGUGACGGUACCUAGAUAAGAAGCACCGGCUAACUAC